AAACCAUGAUAGGGAAACUAUCUCUGUAGAUCUUUGAACCUUUCCCAAGCUUCAUAUAAGGACUUAUCAUUCCUUUGGUAAAUAAUGGCAAUCUCAUUUCUCAAUUU
Molecule: small nucleolar RNA, 107 nt
Organism: Mangifera indica (mango)
Lineage: Eukaryota; Viridiplantae; Streptophyta; Magnoliopsida; Sapindales; Anacardiaceae
Source: RefSeq, a predicted model, not a curated record